Molecule: ribosomal RNA, 255 nt
Filed under: uncultured bacterium
Lineage: Bacteria
Description: partial 16S ribosomal RNA
Rfam family: Bacterial small subunit ribosomal RNA
Source: RNAcentral
UACGAAGGGGGCUAGCGUUGCUCGGAAUCACUGGGCGUAAAGCGCACGUAGGCGGCUUGUUAAGUCAGGGGUGGAAAUCCUGGAGCUCAACUCCAGAACUGCCUUUGAUACUGGCGAGCUUGAGUCCGGGAGAGGUGAGUGGAACUGCGAGUGUAGAGGUGAAAUUCGUAGAUAUUCGCAAGAACACCAGUGGCGAAGGCGGCUCACUGGCCCGGUACUGACGCUGAGGUGCGAAAGCGUGGGGAGCAAACAGGG